AUUGAACGCUGGCGGCAUGCCUUACACAUGCAAGUCGAACGGCAGCACGGGUGCUUGCACCUGGUGGCGAGUGGCGAACGGGUGAGUAAUACAUCGGAACAUGUCCUGUAGUGGGGGAUAGCCCGGCGAGAGCCGGAUUAAUACCGCAUACGAUCUACGGAUGAAAGCGGGGGACCUUCGGGCCUCGCGCUAUAGGGUUGGCCGAUGGCUGAUUAGCUAGUUGGUGGGGUAAAGGCCUACCAAGGCGACGAUCAGUAGCUGGUCUGAGAGGACGACCAGCCACACUGGGACUGAGACACGGCCCAGACUCCUACGGGAGGCAGCAGUGGGGAAUUUUGGACAAUGGGCGAAAGCCUGAUCCAGCAAUGCCGCGUGUGUGAAGAAGGCCUUCGGGUUGUAAAGCACUUUUGUCCGGAAAGAAAUCCUUGGCCCUAAUACGGUCGGGGGAUGACGGUACCGGAAGAAUAAGCACCGGCUAACUACGUG
Molecule: ribosomal RNA, 486 nt
Filed under: uncultured bacterium
Lineage: Bacteria
Description: partial 16S ribosomal RNA
Rfam family: Bacterial small subunit ribosomal RNA
Source: RNAcentral